Molecule: ribosomal RNA, 433 nt
Filed under: uncultured bacterium
Lineage: Bacteria
Description: partial 16S ribosomal RNA
Rfam family: Bacterial small subunit ribosomal RNA
Source: RNAcentral
AACGAACGCUGGCGGCAUGCCUAACACAUGCAAGUCGAACGAGACCUUCGGGUCUAGUGGCGCACGGGUGCGUAACGCGUGGGAACCUGCCCUUAGGUUCGGAAUAACUCCCCGAAAGGGGUGCUAAUACCGGAUAAUGUCUUCGGACCAAAGAUUUAUCGCCUUUGGAUGGGCCCGCGUUGGAUUAGCUAGUUGGUAGGGUAAAAGCCUACCAAGGCGACGAUCCAUAGCUGGUCUGAGAGGAUGAUCAGCCACACUGGGACUGAGACACGGACCAGACUCCUACGGGAGGCAGCAGUGGGGAAUAUUGGACAAGGGGCGAAAGCCUGAUCCAGCAAUGCCGCGUGAGUGAUGAAGGCCUUAGGGUUGUAAAGCUCUUUUACCCGGGAUGAUAAUGACAGUACCGGGAGAAUAAGCUCCGGCUAACUACGUG